AUAGCCAUAGCUCAAUUGGUAGAGCAGCGGAUUCCAAAUCCGAAGGUUCUAGGUUCGAGUCCUAGUGGUUAUGCCA
Molecule: transfer RNA, 76 nt
Filed under: Vibrio phage VPp1
Lineage: Duplodnaviria; Heunggongvirae; Uroviricota; Caudoviricetes
Description: tRNA-Trp
Rfam family: tRNA
About the family: Transfer RNA (tRNA) molecules are approximately 80 nucleotides in length. Their secondary structure includes four short double-helical elements and three loops (D, anti-codon, and T loops).
Source: RNAcentral